RNAcentral lists this long non-coding RNA (239 nucleotides) under Lathyrus oleraceus (garden pea). RNAcentral's name for it is "Pisum sativum (pea) long non-coding RNA (PSAT_LNC017715)". Lineage: Eukaryota; Viridiplantae; Streptophyta; Magnoliopsida; Fabales; Fabaceae. The record is from RNAcentral.
UUUUUUUCUUUUUUUUUUUCCUUUUUUAGCAAGAUCAACCUCGAUUCCUCUUUUCCGCUCACAAUAAGCCUCAGCCACUUACCGGACCGCACUCCGAAAAUGCACUUAUUCGGUUUCAACCUCAGUUUGAAUCGUCUCAAUCGGUCAAACAGCUUGGCCCAACCUACUGGAUGCCGCUCUCCUGUUUCGGACUUUGCUAUCAUGUCAUCAACAUAGCGUUCGAUUUCAUGAUGAAUCAU